Molecule: ribosomal RNA, 253 nt
Filed under: uncultured bacterium
Lineage: Bacteria
Description: partial 16S ribosomal RNA
Rfam family: Bacterial small subunit ribosomal RNA
Source: RNAcentral
UACGUAGGGACCGAGCGUUGUCCGGAAUCAUUGGGCGUAAAGAGCGUGUAAGCGGCCUUUUAAGUCCUGCGUGAAAUCCUGCGGCUCAACCGCAGACGGUCGUGGGAAACUGGAAGGCUAGAGUGCGGGAGAGGAGAGUGGAAUUCCCGGUGUAGCGGUGAAAUGCGCAGAUAUCGGGAAGAACACCCGUGGCGAAGGCGGCUCUCUGGAACGCAACUGACGCUGAGGCGCGAAAGCGUGGGGAGCAAACAGG